GACGAACGCUGGCGGCGUGCUUAACACAUGCGAGUCGAACGGAAAGGCCUGCUUUCCCUUGUGGAUUGCGGGUGCUCGAGUGGCGAACGGGUGAGUAACACGUGAGUGAUCUGCCCCCAACUUGGGUAUAAGCCUGGGAAACUGGGUCUAAUUCCCGAUAGGACUGCAGGGUGGUGCCUGUGGUGGAAAACGAUUUUCUAGUGGUUGGGGAUGAGCUCGCGGCCUAUCAGCUUGUUGGUGGGGUAAUGGCCUACCAAGGCGGCGACGGGUAGCCGGCCUGGGAGGGUGGACGGCCACAUUGGGACUGAGAUACGGCCCAGACUCCUACGGGAGGCAGCAGUGGGGAAUAUUGCACAAUGGGCGGAAGCCUGAUGCAGCGACGCCGCGUGGGGGAUGACGGCCUUCGGGUUGUAAACUCCUUUCGACCGCGAGGAAGCCACCUGGUUGGAAGGGUGGUGACGGUAGUGGUAGAAGAAGCACCGGCUAACUACGUG
Molecule: ribosomal RNA, 494 nt
Filed under: uncultured bacterium
Lineage: Bacteria
Description: partial 16S ribosomal RNA
Rfam family: Bacterial small subunit ribosomal RNA
Source: RNAcentral